CAGAGGUCUCAAGCGUUGUUCGGAUUCAUUGGGCGUAAAGGGUGCGUAGGUGGCGCGGUAAGUCGGGUGUGAAAUCUCGGAGCUUAACUCCGAAAUUGCAUUCGAUACUGCCGUGCUUGAGGACUGGAGAGGAGACUGGAAUUCAUGGUGUAGCAGUGAAAUGCGUAGAGAUCAUGAGGAAGACCAGUGGCGAAGGCGGGUCUCUGGACAGUUCCUGACACUGAGGCACGAAGGCCAGGGGAGCAAACGGGAUUAGAUACCCCGGUAGUCCUGGCAGUAAACGGUGCACGUUUGGUGUGGGAGGAUUCGACCCCUUCCGCGCCGGAGCUAACGCGUUAAACGUGCCGCCUGGGGAGUACGGUCGCAAGAUUA
This 372-nucleotide ribosomal RNA is filed under the name uncultured organism. RNAcentral describes it as "bacterial SSU rRNA". It matches the Rfam family "Bacterial small subunit ribosomal RNA", at positions 526 to 896 of the family's 1533-position model. The record is from RNAcentral.